This 497-nucleotide ribosomal RNA is filed under the name uncultured bacterium. RNAcentral describes it as "partial 16S ribosomal RNA". It matches the Rfam family "Bacterial small subunit ribosomal RNA", at positions 28 to 507 of the family's 1533-position model. The record is from RNAcentral.
GAUGAACGCUGGCGGCGUGCCUAAUACAUGCAAGUCGAGCGAACGGACGAGAAGCUUGCUUUUCUGAUGUUAGCGGCGGACGGGUGAGUAACACGUGGAUAACCUACCUAUAAGACUGGGAUAACUUCGGGAAACCGGAGCUAAUACCGGAUAAUAUUUUGAACCCCUUGGUUCAAAAGUGAAAGACGGUUUUGCUGCCACUUAUAGAUGGAUCCGCGCUGCAUUAGCUAGUUGGUAAGGUAACGGCUUACCAAGGCAACGAUGCAUAGCCGACCUGAGAGGGUGAUCGGCCACACUGGAACUGAGACACGGUCCAGACUCCUACGGGAGGCAGCAGUAGGGAAUCUUCCGCAAUGGGCGAAAGCCUGACGGAGCAACGCCGCGUGAGUGAUGAAGGUCUUCGGAUCGUAAAACUCUGUUAUUAGGGAAGAACAUAUGUGUAAGUAACUGUGCACAUCUUGACGGUACCUAAUCAGAAAGCCACGGCUAACUACGUG